AGGAAUGCUGGCCACCUACUCAGCAUACUGAAUGGAUCCUAGUGUGAAUUUGCAUUCAUAGCAGAAUUUCAGAUGACACCUGGAAGAACUUUAAACUGGCUCUACAUCAUGGUUGAAAGAUCCUACCUGAAAAUUUCACUUGACAAUUACAGAAGAGAUGUUACUUCCCUUUCCUAUGUGAGACAGUCAACAGUUCCCAGUCAGAACACUCUUAAUAUUGGGGAAUGUUUCCAUGUUCCUGUAUGAACCAAAGCAGCAGCAGCAGCAGCAGCAGCAGCAGCAGCAGCAGCAGC
Long non-coding RNA from Mus musculus (house mouse), 293 nucleotides. RefSeq annotates it as predicted gene, 33458. The record is from RefSeq and is a predicted model, not a curated record. NCBI's taxonomy places the organism in Eukaryota, Metazoa, Chordata, Mammalia, Rodentia, Muridae. The transcript has 3 exons.